Canis lupus familiaris (dog) is the source of this 524-nucleotide long non-coding RNA. RefSeq lists it as uncharacterized. Lineage: Eukaryota; Metazoa; Chordata; Mammalia; Carnivora; Canidae. The transcript is spliced from 2 exons. The record is from RefSeq and is a predicted model, not a curated record.
GAUAUUUACGCCAUGGAAACUGGCAAAUGCUAUAGCUCAGGACUCUUUUGCCCCCCAAGAGCUAAUAGUUAAAUACUCACCAGCAUGCCUCUCUUCCUCCUUCCUUUCUUUCCAACCAUCCAUCUCCCUAUUACAACCAGUGAGUACCUACUGUAUGCAGGACAUUACGCUGGGUUCUCCUUGAGAACUCCAAGAUUUUUGGAUAUUCAACCAAUCAACCAAGCCAUGUGCCCAGUUAUUCUCAACAACCUGACUCCCGCAUACUUUCUUCCACUCCAUUCCUCAGCAGCACGGUGUGCAUUGGUUCUCCGAAGGGAACGUGGACAGGCCCCGCAAAAGAAUGCUAGAAGGCUGGAUGGGCUGCAAGGGUCACAGGGCCCGAGUUCAGCAGGGCAGAGAGCCCCCUGCCCUGGAGAGGCCAUUCAGUCACCCACAGCCCUUGAAGGAGCACCAUGACAGAGAAGCUGAGAAGGCAAUGAAUUCAUCAUUUCUUUAAAGUUUUAUAAUAAAACCUUCUGUGAGUC